This 200-nucleotide long non-coding RNA is filed under the name Homo sapiens (human). RNAcentral's name for it is "HSALNT0176195". Lineage: Eukaryota; Metazoa; Chordata; Mammalia; Primates; Hominidae. The record is from RNAcentral.
UGUCAACGUCAGCCUUAGGCAAGUUGACGUCUACUUCAGGGCCCUCUGCUUUGAAGCCAGGCAUGCUGAACUUGGGCAUUUUCAUCUUGGGCAUCUUCAGGUGCCAAUCUGGGCCAUGAACAUCCACAUCUGGAGCACUAAUGUCAACUUUGGGCCCUUUAAUGUCAACAUCUGGCACUUUCAUUUCACCUUCUACCUCA